UUCCCCAAACCCCCUUUUAUGGAGCAUCUUGUCUAGGUACCGUCAAUUAAUCAAACCAAAAACCUUUCAUAAUUAACUUUGAACACAAAGGUCAAGCAUUAUUUCUCUUUAUGUUGUUCACAAUUUCACCAGCAAUAAGAAUGCAAUCAAAAAAUUGUCUCCCAUCAAUGAAAGCAAAUUGGGUUUCAGAGUUGAUCUCAUUUAUGACCUUAAAUAGGCAUUUGGUGGGAGACUUCAUAAUGUUCUUUUUUGGGAAUCAGAAUAAAAAAAGAAACAUUCAAGUGCUUCACCAAAUUUACUAGUGAAGUGGAUUCGUUCGUGACUUCCACUACAUCCUCUUUGGUGGAGGCCUAACAAGUCUUCACAAAGUUGAUGUUGAAACCAUCCAGUCCAAGC
RNAcentral lists this long non-coding RNA (396 nucleotides) under Carica papaya (papaya). Its description in RNAcentral is "long non-coding RNA (CPAP_LNC003434)". The record is from RNAcentral. Lineage: Eukaryota; Viridiplantae; Streptophyta; Magnoliopsida; Brassicales; Caricaceae.